Long non-coding RNA from Lolium rigidum, 525 nucleotides. RefSeq lists it as uncharacterized. The record is from RefSeq and is a predicted model, not a curated record. The transcript is spliced from 3 exons. NCBI's taxonomy places the organism in Eukaryota, Viridiplantae, Streptophyta, Magnoliopsida, Poales, Poaceae.
UGGUUGUUUUGAUAGCUUCCCCUCAAAUGUAAAUUGCUUGCAUGAGAAUAACUUCACUUAUGGUUUAGUGUUAGCUUUUUCGUAUAUUUUGAUUACCUUGCUAAUUGAUUCAUUUCCAUAGGUUAAUUGUUGAACACCAAGAACACUUAGUGGAGUGGGCAUAGAAGUGGACUGGACACUAUCUGCAUGAGCUUGUACAAAGACAACUGGAGGUGCGGAAAUCCAUGGCAAACCAAGCAUCACCUCUACAAGAAGAAUGACAGAGGAGUUGCUGCAAAAGAUCAAUGACCCCCCUUGAUGUGAUUCAGAGUGACUUGCUAGAUUCUUUUGUUCACUUCAAUGAAGAUCACUAGUUAGAAACAUAUAUAAGCUCUUGUGCAGUAUUGCUGAUGACGUGCAUUCAUUUUAAAUUUAAAUUUGACCGAUCUUUGUAUAUCCUGGAUAUGAACCAUGUACUGGAUAAUGAAUCAUGUCAAUGAUCACAUUGUGGAAUAAUUUCUAGAAUUAUGUGAAUGUUCACUUGAA